CCUACGGGAGGCAGCAGUGGGGAAUAUUGGGCAAUGGAGGAAACUCUGACCCAGCGACGCCGCGUGCGGGAUGAAGGCCUUCGGGUUGUAAACCGCUUUCAGCAGGGAAGAAGCGAAAGUGACGGUACCUGCAGAAGAAGCACCGGCUAACUAUGUGCCAGCAGCCGCGGUAAUACAUAGGGUGCAAGCGUUGUCCGGAAUUAUUGGGCGUAAAGAGCUCGUAGGUGGUUCGUCACGUCGGAUGUGAAAAUCUGGGGCUUAACCCCAGACCUGCAUUCGAUACGGGCGAGCUUGAGUAUGGUAGGGGAGUCUGGAAUUCCUGGUGUAGCGGUGGAAUGCGCAGAUAUCAGGAGGAACACCAAUGGCGAAGGCAGGACUCUGGGCCAUUACUGACACUGAGGAGCGAAAGCGUGGGGAGCGAACAGGAUUAGAUACCCUGGUAGUCCACGCCGUAAACGGUGGGCACUAGUUGUGGGGACCUUCCACGGUCUCUGCGACGCAGCUAACGCAUUAAGUGCCCCGCCUGGGGAGUACGAUCGCAAGNUUAAAACUUAAGGAAUUGACGG
Molecule: ribosomal RNA, 566 nt
Filed under: uncultured bacterium
Lineage: Bacteria
Description: bacterial SSU rRNA
Rfam family: Bacterial small subunit ribosomal RNA
Source: RNAcentral